AAUCAACGCUGGCGGCGUGCCUAACACAUGCAAGUCGAACGAGAAAGUGGAGCAAUCCAUGAGUAAAGUGGCGCACGGGUGAGUAACACGUGACUAACCUACCCUUGAGUGGGGGAUAACUGAGGGAAACCUUAGCUAAUACCGCAUAAUACCUACGGGUCAAAGGAGCAAUUCGCUUAAGGAGGGGGUCGCGGCCGAUUAGUUAGUUGGCGGGGUAAUGGCCCACCAAGACGAUGAUCGGUAUCCGGCCUGAGAGGGCGCACGGACACACUGGAACUGAAACACGGUCCAGACUCCUACGGGAGGCAGCAGUGGGGAAUUUUGCGCAAUGGGGGAAACCCUGACGCAGCAACGCCGCGUGGAGGAUGAAGUCCUUCGGGACGUAAACUCCUUUCGAUCGGGACGAUUAU
RNAcentral lists this ribosomal RNA (410 nucleotides) under bacterium Ellin641. RNAcentral describes it as "bacterial SSU rRNA". It matches the Rfam family "Bacterial small subunit ribosomal RNA", at positions 32 to 452 of the family's 1533-position model. Lineage: Bacteria; Pseudomonadati; Acidobacteriota; Terriglobia; Terriglobales; Acidobacteriaceae. The record is from RNAcentral.